RNAcentral lists this ribosomal RNA (460 nucleotides) under uncultured bacterium. RNAcentral's name for it is "partial 16S ribosomal RNA". It matches the Rfam family "Bacterial small subunit ribosomal RNA", at positions 338 to 795 of the family's 1533-position model. The record is from RNAcentral.
CCUACGGGAGGCAGCAGUGAGGAAUAUUGGUCAAUGGUCGGGAGACUGAACCAGCCAAGCCGCGUGAGGGAGGAAGGUACAGAGUAUCGUAAACCUCUUUUGUCAGGGAGCAAAGACUGGGACGCGUCCCCGGAUGAGUGUACCUGAAGAAAAAGCAUCGGCUAACUACGUGCCAGCAGACGCGGUAAUACGUAGGAGGCAAGCGUCGUCCGGAUUUACUGGGGGUAAAGGGAGUGCAGGCGGGAAGACAAGUCAGAUGUGAAAUCCCGCGGCUCAACCGCGGAACUGCAUUUGAAACUGUUGUGCUUGAGUAUCGGAGAGGUAAUCGGAAUUCCUAGUGUAGCGGUGAAAUGCGUAGAUAUUAGGAAGAACACCAGUGGCGAAGGCGGAUUACUGGACGACAACUGACGGUGAGGCGCGAAAGCGUGGGGAGCAAACAGGAUUAGAUACCCCUGUAGUC